Molecule: long non-coding RNA, 656 nt
Filed under: Polistes fuscatus (common paper wasp)
Lineage: Eukaryota; Metazoa; Arthropoda; Insecta; Hymenoptera; Vespidae
Description: uncharacterized LOC122516677, transcript variant X1
Source: RNAcentral
AUUAAUAGUAGUAGUAGUAGUAGUAGUAGUAGCAGAAAUGACAGUAGUAUUAUCAUAAUUCGUUUUUUAUAAAAGCGUAUAUACGUCGUGUUUAAACGCGCGCUGUUUAUUUCGUCCGUAUUCGUCUUACAUCGAACGUUCAUCACUAAAGCAAGAGAAACAUCAUCAUUUUCGUGGGACAAAGUGAUAAUUUUCUUCGACGUUAUCUCUCUUUCUCACUCUCUCUCUCUCUCUCUCUUUCUCUCUCUCUCUCUUUCUAUUUCUAUUUCUCUCUCUUUCUAUCAUUUUUUUACGAAUUUCGUGCUCAACCAAUUUUCUCUUCGUCAUCACCGUACGAAAAGAGGAUCCGAAUUUUGCUGUGGCAGGCACGUCGAUUUCAUUGGUACAAUUGGUGAUGCAUCUGCCUCGCGGCAAGGUCUUAGAAAUCUCCACGAGGAAUUCAACAAACUCGCUGCCCUCGAUAAUGCCUGUGUAACGACAUUCGUUCAGAAUACAACAGUCGGUGCUUAUCACACACACACACACUCACAUCCAAAAUCCGUAAGAUUCGAUAAUAUUCAUCUUGAAAGUCCCAGUACGUGUACGUGGUCGACGUAUUUUUUAGUAACUUGUCUCAUUUCGUGCAAAAGUAUUUUGGAUACUUGAGAGAGAACAAA